GUCUACGGCCAUACCACCCUGAACGCGCCCGAUCUCGUCUGAUCUCGGAAGCUAAGCAGGGUCGGGCCUGGUUAGUACUUGGAUGGGAGAAACUUCUGUGUCAAAACCUGGCAAAGAAGAGA
Molecule: ribosomal RNA, 122 nt
Filed under: Neogale vison (American mink)
Lineage: Eukaryota; Metazoa; Chordata; Mammalia; Carnivora; Mustelidae
Source: RNAcentral